UACAUGCAAGUCGAGCGAAUGGAUUAAGAGCUUGCUCUUAUGAAGUUAGCGGCGGACGGGUGAGUAACACGUGGGUAACCUGCCCAUAAGACUGGGAUAACUCCGGGAAACCGGGGCUAAUACCGGAUAACAUUUUGAACCGCAUGGUUCGAAAUUGAAAGGCGGCUUCGGCUGUCACUUAUGGAUGGACCCGCGUCGCAUUAGCUAGUUGGUGAGGUAACGGCUCACCAAGGCAACGAUUCCUACCCGACCUGAAAGGGUGAUCGGCCACACUGGGACUGACACACGGCCCAAACUCCUUCGGAAGGCAUCACUA
Molecule: ribosomal RNA, 316 nt
Filed under: Bacillus cereus
Lineage: Bacteria; Bacillati; Bacillota; Bacilli; Caryophanales; Bacillaceae
Description: bacterial SSU rRNA
Rfam family: Bacterial small subunit ribosomal RNA
Source: RNAcentral